This 253-nucleotide ribosomal RNA is filed under the name uncultured bacterium. RNAcentral's name for it is "partial 16S ribosomal RNA". It matches the Rfam family "Bacterial small subunit ribosomal RNA", at positions 524 to 776 of the family's 1533-position model. The record is from RNAcentral.
UACGAAGGGGGCUAGCGUUGUUCGGAAUUACUGGGCGUAAAGCGCACGUAGGCGGAUUGUUAAGUUAGGGGUGAAAUCCCAGGGCUCAACCCUGGAACUGCCUUUAAUACUGGCAAUCUAGAGUCCGAGAGAGGUGAGUGGAAUUCCGAGUGUAGAGGUGAAAUUCGUAGAUAUUCGGAGGAACACCAGUGGCGAAGGCGGCUCACUGGCUCGGUACUGACGCUGAGGUGCGAAAGCGUGGGGAGCAAACAGG